UCUGAUGGGUGUAACUGGCGACACGUGGUCAACCACGAAGGAGCUCACAUUCAUAUCGCCGUUCGCCUGAGCAAAGUAU
RNAcentral lists this non-coding RNA (79 nucleotides) under Paenibacillus aquistagni. Its description in RNAcentral is "ZMP/ZTP riboswitch aptamer (pfl RNA motif)". It matches the Rfam family "ZMP/ZTP riboswitch aptamer (pfl RNA motif)". Rfam says of the family: Previously known as pfl RNA. ZMP is also known as AICAR. The record is from Rfam by way of RNAcentral. Lineage: Bacteria; Bacillati; Bacillota; Bacilli; Caryophanales; Paenibacillaceae.